GCCCGUCCUUAGCUACGCGUUAAGUGUGCCGCCUGGGAGUACGCCGCAAGGCUAAACUCAAAGAAAUUGACGGGGCCCGCACAAGCAGAGGAGCAUGUGGCUAUUCGAUGCACGCGAAGAACCUACCUGGGCUUGACAUCCAGCUGCACGGCGCAUGAAAGUGCGCCUCCUUCGAGGUGCUGGACAGGUGCUGCAUGGCUGUCGUCAGUUCGUGCCGUGAGGUGUUUGGUUAAGUCCACCAACGAACGCAACCCCUAGUCCGUGUUGCCAACGGGUAAAGCCGGAACUCGCGGGCCACUGCCGGUUCACGCCGGAGGAAGGUGGGGAUGACGUCAAGUCAGUAUGGCCCUUACGCCCAGGGCUGCACACGUGCUACAAUGGCCGGUACAGAGGGAAGCGAAGCCGCGAGGCGGAGCCAACCCCAGAGAGCCGGCCCCAGUUCGGAUUGGGGUCUGCAACUCGACCCCAUGAAGUCGGAUUUGCUAGUAACGGCGUAUCAGCUACGGCGCCGUGAAUGCGUUCCCGGGCCUUGUACACACCGCCCGUCACAUCAUGAAAGCCGUCUGCACCCGAAGUCGGGCAUUUGUCCGCCUAAGGUGUGGCUGGUGAUUGGGAUG
This 617-nucleotide ribosomal RNA is filed under the name uncultured rumen bacterium. RNAcentral describes it as "bacterial SSU rRNA". It matches the Rfam family "Bacterial small subunit ribosomal RNA", at positions 840 to 1482 of the family's 1533-position model. The record is from RNAcentral.